GCUGCCCACCACCAACGCUCCAGUGAGUGGAGGUGGGGACAACCGCAGUGACGGGGUCCCAGGGUGGGCAAUUGCUUUACUCGUGCUGGCCUGCAUCAUCCUCUUGCUCCUCAUCAUCCUCCUCAUCAUCACGCUCAUCCGAUGGUGCUGUGCAGAUGACAAGCCAGAUCCUGAAGACCCACCAGAGCCCCAGCACACUCCCUAUGCGAGAACCACAUUCAAAGAACCACUUUCCACACCCAGCUACAGCCCGCAGACCCCACAGAAGAGCCCCAUCCUCUCACCCUUCGAGGACCCAACGAAGCCCAAAGUGAACCGAACAGGGUUGUACGUGGUGAAUCCAGAGACAUGAUGAAGAAGCACAGCAGUGCAGUCAGAGAGAUUGUGUGGAGCUGAGGGUUGUUUGGAUUUCUGAGGACUGUAAAACGCUGUGGAUGCCCAUCACCCUUUGACGCCUCCUUUUCAACACCACUGCCUCCAGACCAUGAAAAAGGGAAAUGUACAACUGCGAGGAAACGUCUGUGAACCCUUUGGAAAUUAUCUGGAGUUUAACGCAUUAAUGGUUCCUAAAAUGUGAUCUGAUCUUCAUCUAAAU
Colossoma macropomum (tambaqui) is the source of this 595-nucleotide long non-coding RNA. RefSeq lists it as uncharacterized. The record is from RefSeq and is a predicted model, not a curated record. The transcript is spliced from 4 exons. Lineage: Eukaryota; Metazoa; Chordata; Actinopteri; Characiformes; Serrasalmidae.